This 290-nucleotide long non-coding RNA is filed under the name Prunus persica (peach). Its description in RNAcentral is "long non-coding RNA (PPER_LNC000102)". Lineage: Eukaryota; Viridiplantae; Streptophyta; Magnoliopsida; Rosales; Rosaceae. The record is from RNAcentral.
GAUUGUUGGGUGGUGGUGGUGGUGGUGGAUUACUUGGAGGGGGUGGAGGCGAUUUGUUGGGUGGUGGCGGAUUGUUUGGUGGUGGUGGUGGUCUUAGAAAAAUAGGGGGUAGUAUCAAUGUAAUAGCACUAUUAGGUAUAGUACUAGUAGGUGGCUUGAGUUGCUCAUGAUGUUCUUCAGCAAGACAUGAAGUGAUGAGAACCACCACUCCCAGCAAUAGCACAAGAAAUUUUAAGUAACUCAUCUUUGAGCUUAUGAAGUUACAAAGAUCAUAUGGAGCAUCCUUUUAU